RNAcentral lists this ribosomal RNA (430 nucleotides) under uncultured Bacteroidota bacterium. Its description in RNAcentral is "bacterial SSU rRNA". It matches the Rfam family "Bacterial small subunit ribosomal RNA", at positions 1062 to 1499 of the family's 1533-position model. Lineage: Bacteria; Pseudomonadati; Bacteroidota. The record is from RNAcentral.
GUGCCGUGAGGUGUUGGGUUAAGUCCCGCAACGAGCGCAACCCCCAUCACUAGUUGCCAUCAGGUAAUGCUGGGAACUCUAGUGAAACUGCCGUCGUAAGACGCGAGGAAGGAGGGGAUGAUGUCAAGUCAUCAUGGCCUUUAUGCCCAGGGCUACACACGUGCUACAAUGGAGAGGACAAAGGGCUGCCACUUGGCGACAAGGAGCUAAUCCCAAAAACCUCUUCUCAGUUCAGAUCGCAGUCUGCAACUCGACUGCGUGAAGCUGGAAUCGCUAGUAAUCGUAUAUCAGCAAUGAUACGGUGAAUACGUUCCCGGACCUUGCACACACCGCCCGUCAAGCCAUGGAAGCCGGGUGUACCUAAAGUCGGUAACCGUAAGGAGCCGCCUAGGGUAAAACUGGUGACUGGGGCUAAGUCGUAACAAGGUAA